This 274-nucleotide ribosomal RNA is filed under the name uncultured bacterium. RNAcentral describes it as "partial 16S ribosomal RNA". It matches the Rfam family "Bacterial small subunit ribosomal RNA", at positions 523 to 796 of the family's 1533-position model. The record is from RNAcentral.
AUACGGAGGGUGCAAGCGUUGUUCGGAAUCACUGGGCGUAAAGGGCGCGCAGGCGGUUUGGUAAGUCAGAUGUGAAAGCCCACGGCUCAACCGUGGAAGUGCAUUUGAAACUGCCAGACUUGAGUACCGGAGGGGAAAGUGGAAUUCCCGGUGUAGAGGUGAAAUUCGUAGAUAUCGGGAGGAAUACCGGUGGCGAAGGCGACUUUCUGGCUGGAUACUGACGCUGAGGCGCGAAAGCGUGGGGAGCAAACAGGAUUAGAAACCCGUGUAGUCC